UUCUAGGCUUGUGACAUAGUUUGGGAUUAUAGGAAUUUCAAAUUUGAUUAAAGUCGUUGUAACUGUCAUACAAAUAGGACAGUUUUGAUCUGGGAUGUGUGUAGUUGAUUAAACGGACAUUGGAAUGAGUGAAGGGCCUAUUCGAAAGUUUCCAAAGAAGCAGAAGACGUUAUCUUUGUUCUCACUUCCAAAACAGGCGCAGACGACGAAAAGGUGAUUCAAAAAUGAAGGGACAUACUAAUACCAUCGAGUUGACAUCUCUGAAAUCAUCAUAAAAUUCAGUAAUUUGUGAGGGAGUGGACAUCAAGACUUCAGGAUCACCCUUGGACAAGGCGAAAGAAUCGUCGUACUCGGAAGGAUCACGCAAGUCUUUCAGUCCGAAAGUCUUUCAGCCUGUGGAAUCUUCUGUGGACCCGAUGAAUGUUUGUCUCCUGUAUUAAAAUUAUGUCGUUUCAAGGAUUUUAAGGCAGCAGGACUCAAAUAUAUUAUGUUGCGUGUGAAAACAAUUCUGUGGUCGUAUGCGCUUCUGGCCAUUUUCGUGUUGGCGGGUUUUCAGAGUUCGGAGGCGAAACGAAAACAUAGAGACACUCGGCGUGGUCAUGGAUGCCAGAAGAUGACCAUUCCUCUGUGCAAAUCAUUGGGAUACCAUCGAACGAAGUUUCCUAAUUUCAACGAAAAUUCGUCUCAGUACGAAGCAGGAUUGGACAUAACACAAUUUCUUCCAUUGGUGAAAAUCAAAUGUUCGCCGCACCUGAGAAAGUUUCUCUGCAGCGUCUACGCGCCGCGCUGCGACGGGGGAAAGGUUGAGAAGCCGAGUCGGACGCUUUGUGAAAUGUCAAAAAACGGUUGUGAGUCUUUGAUGAAUAAGUUUGGGUUUCGAUGGCCCUUUGAAUGCGCUAAGUACACCUAUAACAGUUCACCAAAGGACAAGGUAGUCCAAACAGCCGGUAAGUGUGAGGCCGUCGAACUACCAGCCUGUCGCAGUAUUAGUUACGAAUACACAAAGAUGCCAAACAGUUACGGACACCAGUCACAAAGUGAAGCUGGUUUCAAACUUAACGAAUUUCUGCCAAUCAUACAAUUCGGCUGCUCGUCAGAAUUAAGAGAGUUUCUGUGCAGCGUCUAUGUUCCGAGAUGUGAAAAUGGUAAGGUCAAGAAACCUUCUCGCUCUAUGUGCAAGCGGGCAAGGAAGGGCUGUGCACCUUUAAUGAAACGUUUCGGGUUGCGCUGGAGAUUCAAGUGUAAGAAAUUCGGCAAGGAAGACAAAAAAGUUGGUCGGAACUGCCAGAGGAUUCGUGUGCCAAUGUGUAGAGAUAUAGGCUACAGGUUCACGCAGUUCCCCAAUCGUCUCGGACACGAGACGCAGGAGGAGGCGGCCAGCGAAGUGCACCAAUUCUGGCCCCUGAUCGAGAUCAACUGUGCACCUGAACUGAAAGAGUUUUUGUGUGGUCUCUACGUCCCCGAAUGUCGCAACGGCCGGGUGCGACACCCAAGCAGGCAACUCUGUGAGCGGUCUAAAGCUGGGUGCCUCCCUGUGCUAAAACAGUACAACUUCUCUUGGCCAGAUAAAAUGGAUUGUAACAAGCUGUCAUAAACGUUCGGAUGGGUUGAGGUGCAUUGUAAACUUUCAGAGGUCAGUAGCCUAUUCGCAAUAAAAGUCGCAACCUUACUCAUUUGCCCAGCGUAUUGGUUGAAAGCGGAGUAAUGUCCACACAUCGUCGACUACAAUCACUUUUCCAAUGCUAAUAUAUACGUCGUCGGCCUAUGCGCAGAUCCUUGGUCACCAUCCUCACAUACCAAAGUCAGGAGUGCAGUGCUCGUCACUUGCAUGGUACGCUCGGAGUAAAUCGCCCUGGCCCAUGCCGUGGCGAUUAAAUUUGACUAUACGUGUUGUAAGAAUUCCCGGUUCAGCAGCAGGCGCAUUUGCGAAGAAUUACUAUGCGGUCCCCCGAUUGUCCAUCCCUGUUGAAUGGUGACGGAUUAGGGAAUAUGGUUCUUUAGAGACCGUGCCUGUCGAUCUGAGAGAUUAACGGUCGAGGUCCCGAGAAAAUAGUUACUGGCAUGCGCAUUGUAAGAUUGGACUGUAGGCCUCACGCAUUGUAAGAUGAACUCAACAGACAAUCCGGAUUUAGCUAGGCCAGCAGUAGGGACCUGACGAGAAAGAAACUUAGCCCCGGGCUUUAGGCCUGUGUCUUUUGGUCUUCUCUCCAUAAAUGUUGUGUAACGAUUGUACCUAUUGGUCUCUAAUGUGUAAGAGGUUUUAAUAAAUGAAUAAUAAA
Lineus longissimus is the source of this 2279-nucleotide long non-coding RNA. RefSeq lists it as uncharacterized. The record is from RefSeq and is a predicted model, not a curated record. The transcript is spliced from 2 exons. NCBI's taxonomy places the organism in Eukaryota, Metazoa, Nemertea, Pilidiophora, Heteronemertea, Lineidae.